RNAcentral lists this transfer RNA (71 nucleotides) under Phrynosoma platyrhinos (Desert horned lizard). RNAcentral describes it as "tRNA-OTHER". The record is from RNAcentral. Lineage: Eukaryota; Metazoa; Chordata; Lepidosauria; Squamata; Phrynosomatidae.
GCCAGCCUGGUGUAGUGGUUUGAGCGUUGUACUAGGACUCUGGAGACCUGGGUUCGAAUCCCAGCUUGGCC